This 342-nucleotide unclassified non-coding RNA is filed under the name soil metagenome. RNAcentral describes it as "partial contains 5.8S ribosomal RNA, internal transcribed spacer 2, and large subunit ribosomal RNA". The stretch from base 1 to 119 matches the Rfam family "5.8S ribosomal RNA", at positions 35 to 154 of the family's 154-position model. The record is from RNAcentral.
GAUGAAGAACGCAGUGAAAUGCGAUACGUAAUGUGAAUUGCAAAUUCAGUGAAUCAUCGAGUCUUUGAACGCACAUUGCGCCCCCUGGUAUUCCGGGGGGCAUGCCUGUCCGAGCGUCAUUACUGCCCUCAAGCCCGGCUUGUGUGUUGGGCCCCGUCCUCCGAUCCCGGGGGACGGGCCCGAAAGGCAGCGGCGGCACCGCGUCCGGUCCUCGAGCGUAUGGGGCUUUGUCACCCGCUCUGUAGGCCCGGCCGGCGCUUGCCGAUCAACCCCAAUUUUUAUAGGUUGACCUCGGAUCAGGUAGGGAUACCCGCUGAACUUAAGCAUAUCAAAAGCGGAGGA